RNAcentral lists this ribosomal RNA (500 nucleotides) under uncultured bacterium. RNAcentral describes it as "partial 16S ribosomal RNA". It matches the Rfam family "Bacterial small subunit ribosomal RNA", at positions 28 to 507 of the family's 1533-position model. The record is from RNAcentral.
GACGAAUGCUGGCGGCGUGCUUAACACAUGCAAGUCGAACGGGUCUGCCCUGUUUUUUGCGGGGUGGGUCAGUGGCGAACGGGUGAGUAACACGUGAGUAACCUGCCCCUCACUUCUGGAUAACCGCUUGAAAGGGUGGCUAAUACGGGGUGUUCUGGCUGUGCCGCAUGGUGUGGCUGGGAAAGAUUCACUUUUGUGGUGUUUUGGUGGGGGAUGGGCUCGCGGCCUAUCAGCUUGUUGGUGGGGUGAUGGCCUGCCAAGGCUUUGACGGGUAGCCGGCCUGAGAGGGUGGGCGGUCACACUGGGACUGAGAGACGGCCCAGACUCCUGCGGGAGGCAGCAGUGGGGGGUAUUGCACAAUGGGCGGAAGCCUGAUGCAGCGACGUCGCGUGAGGGAUGGAGGCCUUCGGGUUGUGAACCUCUUUCGCCGGUGAAGAAGGUCCUGCUCUUUGUGGUGGGGUUGACGGUAGCCGGGUUAUGAAGCGCCGGCUAACUACGUG